GCAAGUCGAGCGAGACGGUUAUGAAUGAUCCUUCGGGUGAAUGAUUAACUAGACAGCGGCGGACGGGUGAGUAACGCGUGGGUAACCUACCUUAUACUGGGGGAUAACGUUUUGAAAAGAACGCUAAUACCGCAUAAGCGCACAGCAUCACAUGAUGCAGUGUGAAAAACUCCGGUGGUAUAAGAUGGACCCGCGUCUGAUUAGCUAGUUGGUGAGAUAAAAGCUCACCAAGGCGACGAUCAGUAGCCGACCUGAGAGGGUGACC
Molecule: ribosomal RNA, 265 nt
Filed under: uncultured bacterium
Lineage: Bacteria
Description: partial 16S ribosomal RNA
Rfam family: Bacterial small subunit ribosomal RNA
Source: RNAcentral